UGGGGGAUAGCAUAGUGACAGUGUGUGUGUCCAAUAUGCAUAAGGCCUUGGGUUUGACCCCCAGUACUACAA
RNAcentral lists this transfer RNA (72 nucleotides) under Marmota monax (woodchuck). RNAcentral describes it as "tRNA.Ile". The record is from RNAcentral. Lineage: Eukaryota; Metazoa; Chordata; Mammalia; Rodentia; Sciuridae.